UACGGAGGGUGCAAGCGUUAUCCGGAUUCACUGGGUUUAAAGGGUGCGUAGGAGGGCAGGUAAGUCAGUGGUGAAAUCCCCGAGCUUAACUUGGGAACUGCCGUUGAUACUAUCUGUCUUGAAUGUUGUGGAGGUGAGCGGAAUAUGUCAUGUAGCGGUGAAAUGCUUAGAUAUGACAUAGAACACCCAUUGCGAAGGCAGCUUGCUACACAAUGAUUGACGCUGAGGCACGAAAGCGUGGGGAUCAAACAGG
Molecule: ribosomal RNA, 253 nt
Filed under: uncultured bacterium
Lineage: Bacteria
Description: partial 16S ribosomal RNA
Rfam family: Bacterial small subunit ribosomal RNA
Source: RNAcentral